RNAcentral lists this non-coding RNA (490 nucleotides) under Pan troglodytes (chimpanzee). The record is from RNAcentral. Lineage: Eukaryota; Metazoa; Chordata; Mammalia; Primates; Hominidae.
AGCCCAGGGACCAGGAAACCUCUUGCUUGAGUGCUGGAACUCAGGCCAGAAGGCAGGAAGCCCGCCUGACCCCACGUCUCAGGCUGCCAGAGGAGCGUGCGAUGAGGAAGGCUGGACUGUCUUCACAGGACACCAGAGAGAAGCCUCAAGCCACUGCCCCCUGACAAGUCUCAGCUCUCCAGCCUGUCUCCUCACUCCCCUCCCCUCCACAUGGGGGGGUUGGGGUGGGGGCGGGGAAGGUUCGGGGCAGGGGUCAUUUCAGCUACUGGGCACCAGUCUCCUCCUCAUGUUUAUCCUGUUCCCUUUGCUUGAAAGGUUCGUACUCCAGAUCCUUGUAAAACCGCUUCUCACCCUUUGAGUCUCAGCUUAAAUGUCCCCUCCUUGGAGGGGUCUUCCCUGACAAUGAAGCUCCGACCGUCCUCUCCUGUUUUACCCAGUUCAUUUCUUUCUGGCAUUUGUAACUACUUGAAGUUAAAGUGUGUGCCAUGUA